UGGAGGAAUACCGAUGGCGAAGGCAGCCAUCUGGCCUAAUACUGACGCUGAGGUACGAAAGCAUGGGGAGCAAACAGGAUUAGAUACCCUGGUAGUCCAUGCCGUAAACGAUGUCUACUAGCCGUUGGGGCCUUUGAGGCUUUAGUGGCGCAGCUAACGCGAUAAGUAGACCGCCUGGGGAGUACGGUCGCAAGACUAAAACUCAAAUGAAUUGACGGGGGCCCGCACAAGCGGUGGAGCAUGUGGUUUAAUUCGAUGCAACGCGAAGAACCUUACCUGGCCUUGACAUACUAAGAACUUUCCAGAGAUGGAUUGGUGCCUUCGGGAACUUAGAUACAGGUGCUGCAUGGCUGUCGUCAGCUCGUGUCGUGAGAUGUUGGGUUAAGUCCCGCGACGAGCGCAACCCUUUUCCUUAUUUGCCAUCGGGUAAUGCCGGGAACUUUAAGGAUACUGCCAGUGACAAACUGGAGGAAGGCGGGGACGACAUCAAGUCAUCAUGGCCCUUACGGCCAGGGCUACACACGUGCUACAAUGGUCGGUACAAAGGGUUGCUACCUCGCGAGAGGAUGCUAAUCUCAAAAAGCCGAUCGUAGUCCGGAUCGCAGUCUGCAACUCGACUGCGUGAAGUCGGAAUCGCUAGUAAUCGCGGAUCAGAAUGCUGCGGUGAAUACGUUCCCGGGCCUUGUACACACCGCCCGUCACACCAUGGGAGUUUGUUGCACCAGAAGUAGGUAGUCUAACCGUAAGGAGGACGCUUACCACGGUGUGGCCGAUGACUGGGGUGAAGUCGUAACAAGGUAACCGUAAAUC
Molecule: ribosomal RNA, 810 nt
Filed under: uncultured Acinetobacter sp.
Lineage: Bacteria; Pseudomonadati; Pseudomonadota; Gammaproteobacteria; Moraxellales; Moraxellaceae
Description: bacterial SSU rRNA
Rfam family: Bacterial small subunit ribosomal RNA
Source: RNAcentral